This is a long non-coding RNA of Bufo bufo (common toad), 981 nucleotides long. RefSeq lists it as uncharacterized. The record is from RefSeq and is a predicted model, not a curated record. Lineage: Eukaryota; Metazoa; Chordata; Amphibia; Anura; Bufonidae. The transcript has 4 exons.
AUGAAAAAAUAUUUAAUAAAGCUUCUGGUGUGAUAAAUAUGCUGUAAGCAAUCCAUGUAAAGAAAUGCUACAAUCUUCUCACUAUUGUACAAGUCGGAAGUCCCAGUAUAAAGCAACAUGAAGUAUGUACAGUGCAUUUCAGAAUGAAAACUGCUGUUAAUGGAACAAUAAAGCUUUGUGCAUACAAAUCAGCCUUGAGGGGGCGCUGUUGCAAAUAGCAACGCAAGACAGAAACCUGGAUGUUGGUUGCUAUUGCCAACAUUGCAACUUUUUCAUCAUUAAAUUGAGCCAUAAGGCCUAAUUUAAUAGAAACUCAUUGUGCAAUAUAUGAAUAAGAAAUCAAAAGCCGGUGUCCUAAACCAUCAAUUAGGUAAUCGGCGCAGUGCAGAGCGCUUCAGCAAUUCUGUUCAAAAUGAAAAAGGAUAGUACAGUACAGUCACCUCUAGGUGGCACUACAGAGACAGUUUUCUUCCCAUUUUCCAUACUGUCCUCGGGAAACAUUGCUCUAAAAACUUGCACUGUAUGCGCUGAGUCUCGAGUUACCUCCAGAGUGUCAUUUGGGAAUCAGAACAUACAUUCAGUAUGCAAACGGUAGAGGAAGGGGGUAUGACUACAGGAUCAGACUACAAAGAGUGUGUAGUCUGUUACCAUGGAGACACCUAGAUCUGCACUGGAGCUGUAGAAAUAGGUUUUUAUUAACUUUUUUUUUUUUUUUCAUUAAGAUGCAUUAGAACAUUACAAGGUUAUAAGGUAGACCCUCCUUCCACAUAUUUAAUGUAGUAAAGCCUAUAAUACUGCCCUUAGGAGGAUUUUCCUAGACGACAUUUAUUGCCUUGAUCUUGAUAUAUAUGUAAAGUUGCCAUCUUAUAGGAAGGCGGUUUCAUUUCUGUUGCCCAGGACCAUAUUAUAGCGGAGGUGCUGGGUUUUGUGACUCCUGGACGUUCCCCCCGAUACUCCUGUAUAACAGCAUGCAGUCAGCUA